AUGGAAGAAGAGGAUGGAGCAACUGAUAGUGAUGAUGAAGAUUAUGAACCUGAUAUGCUUGUGGACAGUGACAAUGAGAUAGGACAUGAUGAUGAUGAUUUAUAUGCAGAUAAUGUAGAUGAGGAUGAACCUGAGCAGAGAGAUGAAAAGAAAUCAAAUGAGAAAGCAAAGCAAAAAGGGAAAGAUGGAGUAGGUCCUAUCAAACAACAAAAAGGGAAACAAGCAUACCAUUCUGAUGAAGACAUGUCAGAGAAUGAUGAUUUGUGGGCUCCUGAUUCAGAUGAUGAAGAGCUCAAUUUUAAGUUCAAAUCCUUCAGAGAAGAGGAUCUUAAUAAGCCAAAGUUUCAUGUUGGGCAGGUGUUUGAGAGUGUAGAGCUGUUAAGGACUGCCAUCAAAGAGUACUCAUGUCAUAACAUAGUUGAUAUCAAGUUGCCUGUGAAUGACAGGAAGAGAUUGAAAGCAAAAUGUGAUGAAGACUGCACAUGGUACUUGUGGGCAUCAUAUGACAACAGGACCAUGGCUUUCAUGGUGAAAAGAUAUGUGAGUGAGCACACAUGCAACAAGAAGUGGAAAAUUAGGGCUUUCACAGCUAAAUUCCUAGCACAUAAGUACCUAGAGAUGUUCAGGGCUGAUCAAGACAUGAACCUUAUGAAUUUUUCUAGGGUUGUUCAGAAAGAAUGGCAUAUGACACCAGGCAGGAUGAAGUUGCAGAGAGCUAGAAGAAUGGAAAUGAAAAUAGUAUAUGGUGAUGAAGAAGGGCAGUACAAGCUUCUGCGGAAUUAUGCUAAUGAAGUCAGGAGAAGCAACCCUGGCUCAUCAUUCGAUGUCUCACUUGACCAGAAUGCAAGGUUCAACAAGCUAUAUAUGUGUUUGGAUGCUUGCAAGAGAGGAUUCCUUCUAGGUUGCAGGCCAGUGAUCUUCCUUGAUGGCUGCCACAUAAAAACAAGGUACAGAGGUCAACUACUUGCAGCUGUUGGUGUUGAUCCAAAUAAUUGCAUCUUUCCAAUAGCAAUUGCUGUUGUUGAAGUGGAGGACACCCCUAACUGGGUGUGGUUCCUUGACACACUGAAAAGGGAUCUUGGCAUUAUCAACACUGAACCCUGGACUAUCAUGUCAGACAAGCAAAAAGGUCUCAUUAGUGCUGUUGAACAACUAUUCCCUCAGGGAUAUUUUGAAGAACCAACUAUGGAAGAUAGCAAGGAGCAACACAGUUCAGUUAUAUGA
RNAcentral lists this ribosomal RNA (1224 nucleotides) under Triticum aestivum (bread wheat). RNAcentral's name for it is "partial small subunit ribosomal RNA". Lineage: Eukaryota; Viridiplantae; Streptophyta; Magnoliopsida; Poales; Poaceae. The record is from RNAcentral.